UGAACGCUGAGAAAUCCCGCUGCAGGUUACCGCUUCGCACGCUCUCCAAACGGACCCACCACCCUCUUCUCCAUCUUCGCCUUCUCUUUCUCUUUGUUCCUACCUAAAUCUCUUCCCUUCAAUUCCAUAUCAAAACAACAAUUACUCAAAAAUUAAUUUUUACCAAUUUUCUGAAAUCCUAAUGUUGUCGGAAUCUGUUCUCUGCCUCUUGACCGAGGACCUUCUCAUUCGCCUCCUCGAGAAGCUCGGGCCGGAUCGGAAAC
This 263-nucleotide long non-coding RNA is filed under the name Vigna radiata. Its description in RNAcentral is "long non-coding RNA (VRAD_LNC010593)". Lineage: Eukaryota; Viridiplantae; Streptophyta; Magnoliopsida; Fabales; Fabaceae. The record is from RNAcentral.